Hylaeus volcanicus is the source of this 384-nucleotide long non-coding RNA. RefSeq lists it as uncharacterized. The record is from RefSeq and is a predicted model, not a curated record. The transcript is spliced from 3 exons. Lineage: Eukaryota; Metazoa; Arthropoda; Insecta; Hymenoptera; Colletidae.
UCUCGUACGGCCUUUUCUUCCUCAUCUGAUUCGACCUGAAGCACAACAGUCUUUUUUGUCAAGAUCUGCAUUAAAAAAGCCAUACCUUCGAAAUAAACACUACUUUACAUUCUUUACAAAUAUCUAAAAAUCCAGCGGAAAAAAAUUGUUCUAGGCUUUUUUUAUAUUAGGACGGUACUAGCAAGAGUUAAAACAAGAUGAAACAUUAGCAAAAAAACAAGGAAACAACCUUGCUCGACGGAAACAGUUGAAGUUUGACGAAGUUUUUUCAAAUAAAAAUAAAAUGUUAAAAUGAAAAGUAAUAAGGCACUUAUUAUAAGCCCUGUGAGUAAGAAAGGGUCGAGUAGGAAAUGAAUGAAAAAAAUAACGAAAAACCUCACAUUG